RNAcentral lists this non-coding RNA (168 nucleotides) under human gut metagenome. Its description in RNAcentral is "malK-I RNA". It matches the Rfam family "malK-I RNA". The record is from RNAcentral.
GCAUUGCUCUCCAUUUCUAAGUAAUGCACAGCAUUAACAAGGAGGAAUAUUGCGCUCCCUGUGGCUCGGGGUACGGCAGUGUGGAGACCUGCCGCAAAGCGGUGUGCUCAGGCAGCCGUGAGGUCACGUAUGGCGGAGGCCGCGUGAUCAGAGUCGGAAUGUAUGGCA